Molecule: non-coding RNA, 29 nt
Filed under: Homo sapiens (human)
Lineage: Eukaryota; Metazoa; Chordata; Mammalia; Primates; Hominidae
Source: RNAcentral
UGGAGGCUCAGCGCGCGAGCGUGCGCGUA